AAUGAACGCUGGCGGCGCGCCUAAUACAUGCAAGUCGAGCGAGAAGACGUAGCAAUACGUUUGUAAAGCGGCGAACGGGUGAGGAAUACAUGGGUAACCUACCCUAGAGUGGGGAAUAACUAGCCGAAAGGUUAGCUAAUACCGCGUACGCUCCUUGGACUUCGGUUCAGGGAGGAAAGCGAUGCCGAGGGUAUCGCGCUCUUGGAUGGGCUCAUGUCCUAUCAGCUUGUUGGNGAGGUAACGGCUCACCAAGGCUUCGACGGGUAGCUGGUCUGAGAGGACGAUCAGCCACACUGGCACUGCGACACGGGCCAGACUCCUACGGGAGGCAGCAGUAAGGAAUAUUGCGCAAUGGGCGAAAGCCUGACGCAGCGACGCCGGCGGUGGGGG
This 390-nucleotide ribosomal RNA is filed under the name uncultured bacterium. Its description in RNAcentral is "bacterial SSU rRNA". It matches the Rfam family "Bacterial small subunit ribosomal RNA", at positions 29 to 407 of the family's 1533-position model. The record is from RNAcentral.